UUUUCAGUUUCGCUCUCUUCGCUCUCAUCUAUCUCUUUGAAGGAUUUUGUCUCGUGUUUUCACACAACAGAGUUUCGUUCACAAAUUUUAUUUCAGAACCCUAGAAAUAGUUCAAGUUCCUUACUUCGAUCAAAAGGUUUUCAACUCUCCAAGUGGAGUGGUGGGCGGUGAAGGCGGGGUGGUGGAAGGUCGUUGAAGUGGUUGGGGUGUUCGGCCUUAAAGACGCGUUGGACUCAUUACUACGGUGUUAGAGUUGUUCGCUCUGACGGGCAUUGCAAGGGCGAGGGUGUUGUCUUGUGAAAUAAUCUGAAAGGACUCGAAAAGUUGGUUAUUCAUGGAAGAGACAGCAUAACAAAUGAAGCGUCCAUUUGGAAUUCCUGAAAAGCCAGAAUUCACUGUUGGGUUGGAUGAACCAUUGAAGAAGUUGAAAACGAAUGUUUUGAGCGAAGGUUUGUCCGUAAUGGUUUUGACCGGUGUGGGAGGAUCGGGGAAAACCACUCUGGCCACUAUGCUCUACUAUUGAACCAUAAUAACCUCUUAUUUCUUCUUAAGUGAGUUGUGAUAGGUACAACUCUAAGUUGACUGCUUAUGCAAUGAAUAUCUUAUGGUCAAUGAGGUCUAUCUCCUUAUGAACUUGAGAGGAAUAUUCAUAUUAAUGUGCAUGUGCAUGUACAUGAUUGAAGAGGAUGAAUUACAAGGAGCGAGUUCCAUCUUUAAUAUGCUUCUAUAUUCUGUUUUGGA
Vigna unguiculata (cowpea) is the source of this 741-nucleotide long non-coding RNA. The record is from RefSeq and is a predicted model, not a curated record. Lineage: Eukaryota; Viridiplantae; Streptophyta; Magnoliopsida; Fabales; Fabaceae.